GACGAACCGUGCGAACGUUGUUCGGAUUCACUGGGCUUAAAGGGCGCGUAGGCGGGUUGUCAAGUCAGGGGUGAAAGCCUCCAGCUCAACUGGAGAAGUGCCUUUGAUACUGAUGAUCUUGAGGGAGGUAGGGGCAUGUGGAACUUCCGGUGGAGCGGUGAAAUGCGUAGAUAUCGGAAGGAACGCCGGUGGCGAAAGCGACGUGCUGGACCUCUUCUGACGCUGAGGCGCGAAAGCUAGGGGAGCAAACGGG
Molecule: ribosomal RNA, 253 nt
Filed under: uncultured bacterium
Lineage: Bacteria
Description: partial 16S ribosomal RNA
Rfam family: Bacterial small subunit ribosomal RNA
Source: RNAcentral